GACGAACGCUGGCGGCGUGCUUAACACAUGCAAGUCGAACGGUAAGGCCCUUCGGGGUACACGAGUGGCGAACGGGUGAGUAACACGUGGGUGAUCUGCCCUGCACUUCGGGAUAAGCCUGGGAAACUGGGUCUAAUACCGGAUAGGACUCCGGACUGCAUGGUCUGGGGUGGAAAGCUUUUGCGGUGUGGGAUGGGCCCGCGGCCUAUCAGCUUGUUGGUGGGGUGAUGGCCUACCAAGGCGACGACGGGUAGCCGGCCUGGGAGGGUAACCGGCCACACUGGGACUGAGAUACGGCCCAGACUCCUACGGGAGGCAGCAGUGGGGAAUAUUGCACAAUGGGCGCAAGCCUGAUGCAGCGACGCCGCGUGAGGGAUGACGGCCUUCGGGUUGUAAACCUCUUUCAGCAUCGACGAAGCGAAAGUGACGGUAGGUGCAGAAGAAGGACCGGCCAACUACGUGCCAGCAGCCGCAGUAA
Molecule: ribosomal RNA, 478 nt
Filed under: uncultured bacterium
Lineage: Bacteria
Description: partial 16S ribosomal RNA
Rfam family: Bacterial small subunit ribosomal RNA
Source: RNAcentral